This 692-nucleotide ribosomal RNA is filed under the name uncultured bacterium. RNAcentral's name for it is "bacterial SSU rRNA". It matches the Rfam family "Bacterial small subunit ribosomal RNA", at positions 113 to 823 of the family's 1533-position model. The record is from RNAcentral.
ACGCGUGGGUAACCUGCCUUAUACAGGGGGAUAACAGUUAGAAAUGACUGCUAAUACCGCAUAAGCGCACAGUACCGCAUGGUACGGUGUGAAAAACUCCGGUGGUAUGAGAUGGACCCGCGUCUGAUUAGCCAGUUGGCGGGGUAACGGCCCACCAAAGCGACGAUCAGUAGCCGACCUGAGAGGGUGACCGGCCACAUUGGGACUGAGACACGGCCCAAACUCCUACGGGAGGCAGCAGUGGGGAAUAUUGCACAAUGGGGGAAACCCUGAUGCAGCAACGCCGCGUGAGUGAAGAAGUAUUUCGGUAUGUAAAGCUCUAUCAGCAGGGAAGAAGAUGACGGUACCUGACCAAGAAGCCCCGGCUAACUACGUGCCAGCAGCCGCGGUAAUACGUAGGGGGCAAGCGUUAUCCGGAUUUACUGGGUGUAAAGGGAGCGCAGACGGCAGUGCAAGUCUGGAGUGAAAGCCCGGGGCCCAACCCCGGAACUGCUCUGGAAACUGUGCGGCUAGAGUACUGGAGGGGCAGGCGGAAUUCCUAGUGUAGCGGUGAAAUGCGUAGAUAUUAGGAGGAACACCAGUGGCGAAGGCGGCCUGCUGGACAGUAACUGACGUUGAGGCUCGAAAGCGUGGGGAGCAAACAGGAUUAGAUACCCUGGUAGUCCACGCUGUAAACGAUGGAUACUAGGUGU